This 253-nucleotide ribosomal RNA is filed under the name uncultured prokaryote. RNAcentral describes it as "partial 16S ribosomal RNA". It matches the Rfam family "Bacterial small subunit ribosomal RNA", at positions 524 to 776 of the family's 1533-position model. The record is from RNAcentral.
UACGUAGGGUGCGAGCGUUAAUCGGAAUUACUGGGCGUAAAGGGCGCGUAGGCGGCACGGCAAGCCAGGAGUGAAAGGCCUGGGCUCAACCUGGGAAUUGCUUUUGAAACUGCUGAGCUAGAGUGCGGAAGGGGCAACUGGAAUUCCCAGUGUAGCGGUGAAAUGCGUAGAUAUCUGGAGGAACACCGGUGGCGAAGGCGGCAUCCUGGACCGGUAUUGACGCUGAGGAGCGAAAGCCAGGGGAGCAAACGGG